ACAGCAGCAGCCGCGGUAAUACAGAGGGUGCGAGCGUUAAUCGGAUUUACUGGGCGUAAAGCGUGCGUAGGCGGCUUCUUAAGUCGGAUGUGAAAUCCCUGAGCUUAACUUAGGAAUUGCAUUCGAUACUGGGAAGCUAGAGUAUGGGAGAGGAUGGUAGAAUUCCAGGUGUAGCGGUGAAAUGCGUAGAGAUCUGGAGGUAUACCGAUGGCGAAGGCAGCCAUCUGGCCUAAUACUGACGCUGAGGUACGAAAGCAUGGGGAGCAAACAGGAUUAGAUACCCCAGUAGUCCCUGUCUCUUAUAC
RNAcentral lists this ribosomal RNA (305 nucleotides) under uncultured bacterium. Its description in RNAcentral is "partial 16S ribosomal RNA". It matches the Rfam family "Bacterial small subunit ribosomal RNA", at positions 505 to 807 of the family's 1533-position model. The record is from RNAcentral.